UACAGGGGGGGCAAGCGUUGUUCGGAAUUACUGGGCGUAAAGGGCCAGUAGGCGGCCAACUAAGUCCGACGUGAAAUCCCAAGGCUUAACCUUGGAACUGCGUCGGAUACUGGAUGGCUUGAAUUCGGGAGAGGGAUGCAGAAUUCCAGGUGUAGCGGUGAAAUGCGUAGAUAUCUGGAGGAAUACCGGUGGCGAAGGCGGCAUCCUGGACCGAGAUUGACGCUGAAUGGCGAAAGCUAGGGGAGCAAACGGG
This 253-nucleotide ribosomal RNA is filed under the name uncultured bacterium. RNAcentral describes it as "partial 16S ribosomal RNA". It matches the Rfam family "Bacterial small subunit ribosomal RNA", at positions 524 to 776 of the family's 1533-position model. The record is from RNAcentral.